This is a long non-coding RNA of Lycium ferocissimum, 3736 nucleotides long. RefSeq lists it as uncharacterized. The record is from RefSeq and is a predicted model, not a curated record. The transcript has 4 exons. Lineage: Eukaryota; Viridiplantae; Streptophyta; Magnoliopsida; Solanales; Solanaceae.
ACCAAACAAGAAUCUAACCAAAACCAAACGACCCCUUCUUCUUCAACCAAAAGGAGACCUAACCAAAAUCACCAUCACUGCCGAUUCCACCAAAGGACCAGCGAAAAAAAGCCGAUUUCGACAUCGCUGACAUCAUCUCCCAUCAACCCCAAUCCCUUUUCAAGCAACAGAGCUUCGAACAGCUCGUCCAAGUCGAAUCAUCCCCCCAAAUCGAGAAGCACGCAAGGAUCUUUGGGUUUCUAGGCCGAUCUUCCAACAAUCCAUAGGGUAAAGGCUCGUUUCAGUCCGUUAGAGCCUAAAACCAUGAAGAAUCCACUAAAUUCGGAGUCCCAACGAAUUUGUAGCUUUCAAAUCCAUCUGAAAAGCAAGGAUUGCUUUAAGCGGAUUCGGAGACUCGAUGACGACACUAGCCUCAGUUCGCUGUCCCGGAAAAGGUUAGUGGUUGCCCUUACUUUACUUUUGUUUUCGGUCGUUAAGAGUAUAUAUCGAUGUAGCUGUUAAAUAAGUAUUCACAGUUUUGCCUAUUUGAGCUUGUUUUGCUGCUGUGUGUCUGAAUCCGCACAUAAAAGAUAACUAAGAAUACAUUAAGGAACUAUCGAUUAAAGUGUAGAAUAUGGGGAUGACUGUGUUGCUUGUUUGAAUGUCAUUUUAAAUGCUUGUUAGAUGAGUGGUUCUACAUAAUCUGUAUGAUAAAGAAGAUGCUUAGGUUAUGUGUUUGAAACUGUUCUUUAAGCCUUCCUCCAUCUUAAAGUUUGAGACUUAAAUGAAUAUGGAAAUUCUAGCGUAAGUUGAUAACUGUUUGCAGCUGAAUAUAACUGGCUACACCUCUAUCUUUGUUGUAGGAUUUUAUGUAUUCCAUGAACCAGUUCUCUAGCCUUACUUUUUUUUUUUAAAAUUAACUGAUGUAGAGGUUUGAAAAACAAAGGGUUGUUUGGCAACCCUUUGGCUCCCACUUUGUAUGUUUAAAAUUCUGUCUUUAAAUUCGUAGAAUAAAAUGUAGUCGUUCUAUUAUUUUUAUUGCCUAGUCAGAUUCUUCUUGUGUUAAUCCGUUGGUUCUCUAUUGGUUAUGAUUUAGUAUAAUGAAUUAACCACACUUAAGGAGAACACCUAUUAAUUCGUGGAAAAAUGUGAACGGUUAUGUCGAUCAUUUACCUUCCUGUUUUUGCCAUUUUUAACAUGUAAAAGGUUAAUGAGAGUCGAGGCACUACAUAUAAAACCAUUGCUUUUUUUGUGAAGAAUGAAUUCUGAUUUGUUGCCGGAUUAGAUGAUUGACUCGUUUAAUGGCCUUACAGACUAUUUUUUUCAGUCUUGAGAGAUUGUUUCGCCAUGUCCUACACUAAGAAAAAAUCACUAUAAAAGAUGUCAUUAAUAAUGAUGAUUAUAUAUGUCCUAGAUUAGGUGUCCCUAUGUCUACAUUAAGUGACUCGUUUCUUCAAAGAUAGUGUCUAUGUUUAAACUAUGGUUUUCCUACAUCUGGUUCUAAAAUUCGACCUUAAUUCAUGUAUGUUUAGUUUGAGUCUAGUUUAAUUCUACUUGUUGAGAUUGCACUUUCUUCUUUAAAUCUCCGCAGUGUUUCCUCUUUCUCUCUUCAUUUUAUACAUAUCCAACUAUGUGGAAGCUUAAAGGAUUUUUUCUUUUUCUUUUUGGUUAUUGUUCUGCAUUAGCUGCACAGUGUGUUGAGUCAAGUCAGUGCAUGACCCGUAUCCUGCUUUAGUUGGUAAAAAUGAAGACGUAGCCAUGUCAAGUUGUUCUUGUUAUUCGUUUAAAUUUCUGUUUUAAGUACAUACCAGAAUUUGUAUGCUUAAUUAUCUCCUCAUAAAAAAUCAUGUUUAUUGGGACUGCAUUUUGUCUAAGUUAAUGUAGUGAAUGUAUUGUUGUUUGGAAAAGGAAAAAAAAAGACUAAUAAUAGGUACUAGUUAAGUUUUUUUUUUUUUUUCCACUGAUUUCGUUUUCUUCAAACCUGUUUCAUCUUAAUCUUUUCUGAAGAACUGCUUAUGCUUGCCUGAAAGAGUAUCGCGAUUUUAUUAUGGAUUAAACUUAUUGGUUGCUGAUAAGGUUGAUUCGCUGUUUCUAGUCCUCAGUUGAUUCUGCCAAGUAGAAUAAUUGGAACCUAUUUGAGUAAUUGAGUAGUAUGGUUGUAGUUUUCAGUUAUUGGGAUAUUAAUCUAGCGAACAUGCAUGUCCACACAUAAGUAAUUGCUUUGUUUUGCCUGUUUGGAAACUGUCUAUUAAUGUGUUUACUUGAAAAGAACUAGAAAUCAUGACAGCGAAUUACAUUGUUUUCUUAUAUCAUGAAUGAAAUAUUAAGUUAACAUAGUCCCUCUGUGAUAUCUCUUGUUAACACCUCUAAGGAGAUUUAAUUUUAGGAAUUGGGGAACUCUUAAGUUUGUCUCCUAAAAAAAAUAAAAAAAUAAAAAAAAAUGGCAAACUCCUAUCUUUUUGUUUAAUGGAAUAUUACCUAAAACUUGUGUUUCCUUCCAGAAAUUUUAGCCUUUAUAAAGAAGUGGUAUAUCUAUUUCAUAAUAAUAUGAACAACAAUUUUAUUCCUGUUGACAUCUCUUCUCGGUUGGGACUGUUGUAUAACACCUGAAGGAAAUCAAUUUCCAUACCCGUUUUGAGACUAGAUUCUAUUGGUAAUUUGGAUUUCUUUAUGGAUUAUUAUGGCCAAGUUUCCUAAAACUAGUAAGAGUAUACUUGUAUCUUGAUUACUUGUGCACCCCGUUUCUUUUAAAAAGGAUAUGAGUUGAUUGGAGUGUUCAACUUCGCUCUUAGAAUACUUAAGAAAACUGAAUUUGUUUUCUCCUUUUUUUACUUUGAUGGCUUGACCUUUUGAAUUCAAGAAUAUUGGGAAUUGAAAUAAAACCCAGGAGCAACUGGUUGUUGCGUCCAAGUUUCUUGUGUUAAAUAUGAGCUUAGCUUGACUUCCUAUUUGAAAUUUGAAUAAGUAGUAUGUUACCCGUCUCCGAAGUGCUAUUUUGGGAAUAUGAGAGUAAUGUUUUGGAACUUAAAUAAACCUUAAUUUAUCCAAAGGUUUUACUGCACACCUAGUUGGAAAGUUUAACAGAAGCAUUCGAAUGUUGAGUAAUAAUUGGGGCUACAUUGACCUUCUCUUAAAAUGUGUUGUCUUUUUUUUUUUUUUUUGGGAACCUGAUUGAGGGACCUUGCCUAUGUGAUUAUGUUAUCUAGUUUUCUAUUGGUUAAAGUUAUAUCAACUUCUUCUUAUUAAAAACUUCUCCUAAUCCUUGUCUCUUCUUUCUUUUGCAUGAACACACUUGGGAGAAUAUUGGAGUUAUGGUAACUCCAAGUUCAGCCCGGAGUUAGGAGUAAACAUUCAAAGCGGUUUCAUUCGAAUUUACGAGUUCAAGAAGUAGACGUUGGACGGUUAGAUACACUUCAAGGUAGACAGACAGGCGGUCUAGCUCAGUAGGACUUCUACUCAGCAGUAGUUGGUGCGCUCCACUUGUUCCGGAGCUGCAGUCUAUUUUUGGUAUGCCAUCUUGAUAUGUAUAUGCAUAUAUGGGUAUAGCGGGGUCCUGUCCCAUCCUUUCUACAGUUUUCUAUUCCAUUAAAGGUCUGUAGACAGUUGUAUGUAGUUGGUACGUUAUGUAGCCUUGUCGGUUCUCAUUCUUUCCUUUGUACAGCAUAUGUAGCAGCCUGUUCGGCUUGCACUGUUCCUUUCAGUAUAUAUAUGCAUAGAUGGUUGAUAGUUGUCGAUGCAUAUCUCUGAGUGUUGUUCU